AGUCGAGCGGUAACAGGAAUUAGCUUGCUAAUUUGCUGACGAGCGGCGGACGGGUGAGUAACGCGUAGGAAUCUGCCUGGUAGUGGGGGACAACAUGUGGAAACGCAUGCUAAUACCGCAUACGCCCUACGGGGGAAAGGAGGGGAUCUUCGGACCUUUCGCUAUCAGAUGAGCCUGCGUGAGAUUAGCUAGUUGGUGGGGUAAAGGCUCACCAAGGCGACGAUCUCUAGCUGGUCUGAGAGGAUGAUCAGCCACACUGGGACUGAGACACGGCCCAGACUCCUACGGGAGGCAGCAGUGGGGAAUAUUGGACAAUGGGGGCAACCCUGAUCCAGCCAUGCCGCGUGUGUGAAGAAGGCCUUAGGGUUGUAAAGCACUUUCAGGAGUGAGGAAGGGUGUACGGUUAAUACCCGUAUAUUUUGACGUUAACUCCAGAAGAAGCACCGGCUAACUCUGUGCCAGCAGCCGCGGUAAUACAGAGGGUGCGAGCGUUAAUCGGAAUUACUGGGCGUAAAGCGCGCGUAGGCGGUUUGUUAAGUCGGAUGUGAAAUCCCAGGGCUCAACCUUGGAAUGGCACCCGAUACUGGCAGGCUAGAGUACGGUAGAGGGGUGUGGAAUUUCCUGUGUAGCGGUGAAAUGCGUAGAUAUAGGAAGGAACAUCAGUGGCGAAGGCGACACUCUGGACCGAUACUGACGCUGAGUGCGAAAGCGUGGGGAGCAAACAGGAUUAGAUACCCUGGUAGUCCACGCCGUAAACGAUGUCUACUAGCCGUUGGGAAUUUUAUUUUUAG
RNAcentral lists this ribosomal RNA (791 nucleotides) under uncultured Marinomonas sp. RNAcentral's name for it is "bacterial SSU rRNA". It matches the Rfam family "Bacterial small subunit ribosomal RNA", at positions 60 to 843 of the family's 1533-position model. The record is from RNAcentral. Lineage: Bacteria; Pseudomonadati; Pseudomonadota; Gammaproteobacteria; Oceanospirillales; Oceanospirillaceae.